Clostridium sp. CAG:127 is the source of this 167-nucleotide non-coding RNA. NCBI's taxonomy places the organism in Bacteria, Bacillati, Bacillota, Clostridia, Eubacteriales, Clostridiaceae. The record is from Rfam.
UUCUGUAAAUAAACAGCAAUGUUUGAAAUGUUCUGCAGAAAAAUAGCCAUGUUUGAACACGAUGUUCAAACAAGCCGCCACUGAGCCAUGGAUGGCGAAUUGGCGGUGGUUGCGUGCGUUGUUUAGCUUGUGAAUCAGAACAUCUUAGAACUUCUUAAUUUCAAUAC